RNAcentral lists this ribosomal RNA (764 nucleotides) under uncultured organism. Its description in RNAcentral is "bacterial SSU rRNA". It matches the Rfam family "Bacterial small subunit ribosomal RNA", at positions 39 to 823 of the family's 1533-position model. The record is from RNAcentral.
GCGAUGUGCCUAAUGUAUGCAAGUCGAACGAUUCCUGUAUCUUCGGAUACAGGGAGUGGCAAACGGCUGAGUAACGCGUAGGAACCUACCCCAAACUCGAGUAUAGCCCCGCGAAAGCGGGGGUAAUCCUCGAUAGCCCGUGAAGUAUUUUACUUCACGGUAAAGCUUUUGCGGUUUGGGAUGGGCCUGCGUCCUAUCAGGUAGUUGGUGAGGUAAAUGCUCACCAAGCCUAUGACGGGUAGCUGGUCUGAGAGGAUGGUCAGCCAGACUGGGACUGCGACACGGCCCAGACUCCUACGGGAGGCAGCAACUAGGAAUUGUGCGCAAUGGACGAAAGUCUGACGCCGCGACAUCGCGUGGAGGAUGAAGGUCUUCGGAUUGUAAACUCCUUUUCUUACCGAACAAGUUCUGAGUGUAGGUAAGGAAUAAGUGCCUGCUAACCACGUGCCAGAAGCAUCGGUAAUACGUGGGGCACGAGCGUUAUCCGGAUUUACUGGGCGUAAAGAGAAGCGUAGGCGGCUCAAUAAGUUUGGUGUUAAAUCUUCCGGCUCAACCGGAAACAAGCACCGAAAACUAUCGAGAUUGAGUCGAGUAGGGAAGAGGGGAAUUCCUGGUGGAGCGGUUAAAUGCGUAGAUAUCAGGAGGAAUACCAAGGGCGAAGGCACCUCUUUGGACUCGUACUGACGCUGAGGCUCGAAAGCGUGGGUAGCAAAACGGAUUAGAUACCCGUGUAGUCCACGCCGUAAACGAUCCCUGUUAGAUGU